This 372-nucleotide ribosomal RNA is filed under the name uncultured bacterium. Its description in RNAcentral is "bacterial SSU rRNA". It matches the Rfam family "Bacterial small subunit ribosomal RNA", at positions 29 to 424 of the family's 1533-position model. The record is from RNAcentral.
AGCGAACGCUGGCGGCAGGCUUAAACACAUGCAAGUCGAACGGGCAUAGCAAUAUGUCAGUGGCAGACGGGUGAGUAACGCGUGGGAACAUACCUCUUGGUUCGGAACAACACAGGGAAACUUGUGCCAAUACCGGAUAAGCCCUUACGGGGAAAGAUUUAUUGCCGAGAGAUUGGCCCGCGUCUGAUUAGCUAGUUGGUGAGGUAAGAGCUCACCAAGGCGACGAUCAGUAGCUGGUCUGAGAGGAUGAUCAGCCACAUUGGGACUGAGACACGGCCCAAACUCCUACGGGAGGCAGCAGGUGGGGAAUAUUGGACAAUGGGCGCAAGCCUGAUCCAGCCAUGCCGCGUGAGUGAUGAAGGCCCUAGGGUU